GACGAACGCUGGCGGCGUGCUUAACACAUGCAAGUCGAACGGUAAGGCCCUUCGGGGUACACGAGUGGCGAACGGGUGAGUAACACGUGGGUGAUCUGCCCUGCACUUCGGGAUAAGCCUGGGAAACUGGGUCUAAUACCGGAUAGGACUCCUGGCUUCAUGGCUGGGGGGGGAAAGCUUCUGCGGUGUGGGAUGGGCCCGCGGCCGAUGAGCUUGUUGGUGGGGGAAUGGCCUACCAAGGCGACGACGGGUAGCCGGCCUGAGAGGGUGACCGGUCACCAUGGGACUGAGAUACGGCCCAGACUCCUACGGGAGGCAGCAGUGGGGAAUAUUGCACAAUGGGCGCAAGCCUGAUGCAGCGACGCCGCGUGAGGGAUGACGGCCUUCGGGUUGUAAACCUCUUUCAGCUAUGACGAAGCGCAAGUGACGGUAGUAGCAGAAGAAGGACCGGCCAACUACGUGCCAGCCGCCGCGGUAA
RNAcentral lists this ribosomal RNA (478 nucleotides) under uncultured bacterium. RNAcentral describes it as "partial 16S ribosomal RNA". It matches the Rfam family "Bacterial small subunit ribosomal RNA", at positions 28 to 523 of the family's 1533-position model. The record is from RNAcentral.